This 253-nucleotide ribosomal RNA is filed under the name uncultured bacterium. RNAcentral's name for it is "partial 16S ribosomal RNA". It matches the Rfam family "Bacterial small subunit ribosomal RNA", at positions 524 to 776 of the family's 1533-position model. The record is from RNAcentral.
UACGAAGGGGGCUAGCGUUGCUCGGAAUUACUGGGCGUAAAGGGCGCGUAGGCGGCACUGUUAGUCAGGCGUGAAAGUCCUGGGCUCAACCUGGGAACUGCGCUUGAUACGGCAGAGCUAGAGGAUGGAAGAGGCUCGCGGAAUUCCCAGUGUAGAGGUGAAAUUCGUAGAUAUCGGGAGGAACACCGGUGGCGAAGGCGGCGACCUGGUUCGAUACUGACACUGAGGUGCGAAAGCGUGGGGAGCAAACAGG